GGAUGUGAGGGCUAUCUGGCUGUGACAUCUGUCAUCCCAUUAAUCUCCAGGGUUGAUUCGGCUGAUCUCACUGGUUCGGUGGUAUCUCCUUCCUCCCUCAUGGCUCCAUGUUCGUACCUUCUGAAGCUGUGUGCUCAGUAGAAGAGGAUAACCUUCCCCCAAUAGAGACGACCAGUCUUCAGUUGAGGUUACAAGAGUAGCUGUGUUCCCCUGCUAGUAUCGUCAAAAAAGCUCUCACAUUAUGCAGAAAUAAGCUUCUUCUUUAAAUAUGGAGAGUU
Unclassified non-coding RNA from Erinaceus europaeus (western European hedgehog), 278 nucleotides. Its record names the gene 7SK. It matches the Rfam family "7SK RNA". Rfam says of the family: 7SK was discovered as an abundant small nuclear RNA in the mid-70s but a possible function has only recently been suggested. The record is from Ensembl. NCBI's taxonomy places the organism in Eukaryota, Metazoa, Chordata, Mammalia, Eulipotyphla, Erinaceidae.